UACGUAGGGUGCGAGCGUUAAUCGGAAUUACUGGGCGUAAAGCGUGCGCAGGCGGUUCGUUGUGUCGGCGGUGAAAGCCCCGGGCUUAACCUGGGAAUGGCCGUUGAAACUGGCGAACUGGAGUGUGGCAGAGGGGGGUGGAAUUCCGCGUGUAGCAGUGAAAUGCGUAGAGAUGCGGAGGAACACCGAUGGCGAAGGCGGGUCUCUGGGCCGAUACUGACGCUGAGGAGCGAAAGCGUGGGGAGCGAACAGG
RNAcentral lists this ribosomal RNA (253 nucleotides) under uncultured bacterium. RNAcentral's name for it is "partial 16S ribosomal RNA". It matches the Rfam family "Bacterial small subunit ribosomal RNA", at positions 524 to 776 of the family's 1533-position model. The record is from RNAcentral.